This 666-nucleotide long non-coding RNA is filed under the name Capra hircus (goat). Its description in RNAcentral is "lncRNA (ENSCHIG00000007492.1)". The record is from RNAcentral. Lineage: Eukaryota; Metazoa; Chordata; Mammalia; Artiodactyla; Bovidae.
CCAUGGACCAUUCCCACUCAGCUUCUCAAAGCGUUGUGCUGCCUUCAAGAGUGGAGCCGGAACAAAGAAGGAGCAUCUGAAUCCCUCUGUGUUUCAUCACUGAUCUGGGCAUGCUCGUCUCAGACUCCUCUUCUCAGAGAGCGGACCGCUAUGCACCAUCAGAGCGCACCCCUGACCAGAUUGGGGUUAAGUCUGAACUCAUCUUGUAUGUGUGAACUGUCGUGAUGGUAGGGAGUAAGCCUACCUAAUGCAAGGGAUGAAGUAAGAGGAAAUCAAUGCGGCCACUCAGCUCAGGCCUGAUGGCAGGAGGGACUCUAACCACCCACUGCAAGGGAGAGGAGGACAGGAAGCUGGCCUGCUUCAUUCCUUUGCUCAGCAGAUGCGCCUACUGUGUUCUUGGAUUUCAGGUGCUUGAAUGCAUCCUUUCUCAUGGAGCAGUCAUUGCAGCGAAGGGAGACAGAAUAUAAACAAGUAGAUGACACAGUAUGUUAUAAGCUGAUGGGUGAUAUGGAGAAAAAUAGCAGGAAAUGAGAGGAGGAGGAUGGAGGGAUGGAUUUGCAGUUUUCAAUGAGGGAAGGUCUCAUUGAGAUGGCAAUGUUUGAAUGAAGGCUUAAGGACGUGAGGAAGCAAACCCUGUAGAUGGCGAGAGAAGAGUACUGCAGAGAG